This 1468-nucleotide ribosomal RNA is filed under the name uncultured Spirochaetota bacterium. Its description in RNAcentral is "bacterial SSU rRNA". It matches the Rfam family "Bacterial small subunit ribosomal RNA". The record is from RNAcentral. Lineage: Bacteria; Pseudomonadati; Spirochaetota.
ACGAACGCUGGCGGCGCGUCUUAAGCAUGCAAGUCGGGCGGCAAGGGGGAGCGAUCCCCCCUAGAGCGGCGGACUGGUGAGUAACGCGUGGGCGACCUGCCUUGAGGAUGGGGAUAGCCGCUAGAAAUAGCGGGCAAUACCGAAUACGCUGGCCAUGCCGAGGCAUGGCGAGGAAAGGGGCUAAGGCCCCGCCUUGAGAUGGGCCCGCGUCCCAUUAGGUAGUUGGGGGUGUAACGGACCACCAAGCCCGAGAUGGGUAGCCGGCCUGAGAGGGCGAACGGCCACACUGGGACUGAGAUACGGCCCAGACUCCUACGGGAGGCAGCAGCUAAGAAUAUUCCGCAAUGGGCGAAAGCCUGACGGAGCGACGCCGCGUGGAUGAGGGAGGCCGAAAGGUUGUAAAAUCCUUUUGCGGGCGAAGAAUAAGCGCGGCAGGGAAUGGCCGCGCGAUGACGCUAGCCCGUGAAUAAGCCCCGGCUAAUUACGUGCCAGCAGCCGCGGUAACACGUAAGGGGCGAGCGUUGUUCGGAAUUAUUGGGCGUAAAGGGCGCGUAGGCGGCGCUGUAAGUCCGGCGUGAAAUAUCGGGGCUCAACCCCGGGGCUGCGCUGGAAACUGCGGUGCUGGAGUCACGGAGGGGCAGCCGGAAUUCCUGGUGUAGGGGUGAAAUCUGUAGAUAUCAGGAAGAACACCGGCAGCGAAGGCGGGCUGCCAGCCGAUGACUGACGCUGAGGCGCGAAAGUGCGGGGAGCAAACAGGAUUAGAUACCCUGGUAGUCCGCACUAUAAACGAUGCACACUAGGUGUCGGGGCGAGCGCCUCGGUGCCGGAGCGAACGCGAUAAGUGUGCCGCCUGGGGACUACGGCCGCAAGGUUGAAACUCAAAGGAAUUGACGGGGGCCCGCACAAGCGGUGGAGCACGUGGUUUAAUUCGAUGCAAACCGAAGAACCUUACCUGGGUUUGACAUGUUAGUGGUAAGAGGCUGAAAGGCAGAUGACUUAACCUUCGGGUUAAGAGCUAACACAGGUGCUGCAUGGCUGUCGUCAGCUCGUGUCGUGAGAUGUUGGGUCAAGUCCCGCAACGAGCGCAACCCCUGCAUUUAGUUGCUACCGAGAGAGACGAGCACUCUAGAUGGACUGCCGCCGAUAAGGUGGAGGAAGGUGGGGACGACGUCAAGUCAUCAUGGCCCUUAUGUCCAGGGCGACACACGUGCUACAAUGGCCGGUACAAAGGGAAGCGAGCCCGAGAGGGUAAGCGGAUCCCAUAAAGCCGGUCGCAGUUCGGAUUGAGGUCUGCAACCCGACCUCAUGAAGCUGGAAUCGCUAGUAAUCGCGCAUCAGCAUGGCGCGGUGAAUACGUUCCCGGGCCUUGUACACACCGCCCGUCACACCAUCCGAGUUGGAGGUACCCGAAGCCGGUAGUCUAACCGCAAGGAGGACGCUGUCGAAGGUACGUUUAGUGAGGAGGGUG